GCUAAACGCGAAGAACCUUACCUGGGUUUGACAUGGCCGCAAAACCGGCAAAGAUGUCGGGUCCUUCGGGGGCGGUCACAGGUGGUGCAUGGCUGUCGUCAGCUCGUGUCGUGAGAUGUUGGGUUAAGUCCCGCAACGAGCGCAACCCUCGUUCGAUGUUGCCAGCGGUUCGGCCGGGGACUCAUCGAAGACUGCCGGGGUCAACUCGGAGGAAGGUGGGGAUGACGUCAAGUCAUCAUGCCCCUUAUGUCCAGGGCUUCACGCAUGCUACAAUGGCCGGUACAAUGGGCUGCGAUACCGUGAGGUGGAGCGAAUCCCAAAAAGCCGGUCUCAGUUCGGAUCGGGGUCUGCAACUCGACCCCGUGAAGUCGGAGUCGCUAGUAAUCGUGGAUCAGCAUGUCACGGUGAAUACGUUCCCGGGUCUUGUACACACCG
RNAcentral lists this ribosomal RNA (435 nucleotides) under uncultured bacterium. RNAcentral's name for it is "bacterial SSU rRNA". It matches the Rfam family "Bacterial small subunit ribosomal RNA", at positions 954 to 1392 of the family's 1533-position model. The record is from RNAcentral.